RNAcentral lists this ribosomal RNA (404 nucleotides) under Actinomycetes bacterium. RNAcentral describes it as "Actinobacteria bacterium partial 16S ribosomal RNA". It matches the Rfam family "Bacterial small subunit ribosomal RNA", at positions 355 to 776 of the family's 1533-position model. The record is from RNAcentral. Lineage: Bacteria; Bacillati; Actinomycetota; Actinomycetes.
UGGGGAAUAUUGGACAAUGGGCGCAAGCCUGAUCCAGCCAUGCCGCGUGAGUGAUGAAGGCCCUAGGGUUGUAAAGCUCUUUCACCGGUGAAGAUAAUGACGGUAACCGGAGAAGAAGCCCCGGCUAACUUCGUGCCAGCAGCCGCGGUAAUACGAAGGGGGCUAGCGUUGUUCGGAUUUACUGGGCGUAAAGCGCACGUAGGCGGACUUUUAAGUCAGGGGUGAAAUCCCGGGGCUCAACCCCGGAACUGCCUUUGAUACUGGAAGUCUUGAGUAUGGUAGAGGUGAGUGGAAUUCCGAGUGUAGAGGUGAAAUUCGUAGAUAUUCGGAGGAACACCAGUGGCGAAGGCGGCUCACUGGCCCAUUACUGACGCUGAGGUGCGAAAGCGUGGGGAGCAAACAGG